GUACCCUCAAGCUAUGCUUGGUGUUGGGUGUUUGUCCUCUCCUCUGCGUUUGGACUCGCCUUAAAGUAAUUGGCAGCCAGUGUAUUGGUCUUGAAGCGCAGCACAAUUUGCGAUUCUAGCUUUUAUUAUUGGCAUCCAUUAAGCCUCUAUAUCAC
Molecule: unclassified non-coding RNA, 155 nt
Filed under: uncultured Dothideomycetes
Lineage: Eukaryota; Fungi; Ascomycota; Dothideomycetes
Description: sequence contains ITS2
Source: RNAcentral